ACCCCUGCAUAUUUUAGAAACUCACCAAUCACCAUGAACUCCGACCGCCUACUUCCCCCGCUUUCAACUCACCACCAUUAGAUGACUGAUCAUCUGAACCCUAAAUCUAUUCGUAUACUAUUGCUCUUCCUAUUAUCUUGUUAUUCUUUUUUCCUUCAAAUCAACAACUGAAGUUAUUGCAAGGAAAAAUAAUAAUCAAGAAUUGGUAUCCUUAAAGCCUAAAUCAUUUUUCUCAAGUAAUACUACUGCAAAAUUCAAGAAGUCGAUAUUGUCUUGAAUUCUUGCCUGCAUUCCUUUUAAGAAAAAAAUCUUUUUAAAUUACAUUGCUAUUCAUAAAUGCAUAUUUUAAGGAAAUCAAAGAAACGGUAGUUUUCAAGAAUGUAUUGGCAUUGUACGAAUUAAGGAAAUUCAAGAAAUCUUUAAAAAAAAAAUUAUGUUGUUAUUCUUGCAGAUAGAGCACACUACCGUUCUGGACUGUGAUUUUCUUGAGCUGAGGUCUAUUAGAAACAACUUCUUGAGUCCCCCACAAAGGACUGGGGGUAAGUUCUAUCUAGCUAUGCUAGCUUUCAAUUAUAGGAUAAGGUCAGUUGCUUUGUCUUCUUUUUCCUGGUUUAAUCUGAGGUUUAGGAGAAAGAAUUGGCCGAAAGAGUCUUGUGAAGUCUAAAAAGGCAAGAAUGAGGCAGCAGAGAGUAUGGUAUUUCUAUCAAGGUCAAGAAUGAGGCAUUUGAAUGAAAUGUUGGAUUUUUGAGGGGUGGUUGCCUUCCUUCUCUGGCAAGCCCUGAUUUUUUUUGAAGUUUUGCUUUUUAUGUUGAGGAGUUACUUUUCAACAGCCUUGAUGCUGGUACCACCAAGAUGGGCUGCUGAGAAUAUGGCAAGAGAGUCUGUAAGAAUUUCACGGGAAGGUCCUGUCUAAAAAAAAUGAGGCCAACAACCUAUCUUGAUCCAGAGCGAGAAUUGAUAUAUUUAUUUUGAUAAUAGGUCAUGUUUGAAGUUGGUUACCAAUUACUGUACAACUAUGCCGACCAAAUUCAAAACUGGGGUUGGAUGUACAACAUUCAUUCUCAAGCUUCAAGAUCAUUUAUCAGGAACUUAAAUCUUAUCCACAAGCAACCAACAUCUGUCACACUUUUUGUGGGCAAGUUUGAAAAGUAAACUUGUUAACAUCUGGAAUAGCAAAUUACAAGCUCAAGGAGAGGGCAAAGGGUACACGUGAUGGGAGUCAAAAGAAGAAUUUGCACCAACAAAAACUCUAAGUUUCUUAGAUUCUGGGAUAAAAUGGAGGGACUUCCGUCCAGAGAUCACAGUGAUUCAUUGGUUCCUGAUACAAUUGAUAAAACUGCGUGGAGGGUGCGAAAGUUCUCCAACAGGUUGAUAAGAAGUUUAUCCUACAAUUGAUCAGGUCUACUUUGUCCUUUGCAUAGUCCCUUAUGGCCAUUCUUGGUUUCUCAUGAUUUUUCUUGUAACACAUUUACUUUAAACAAUUGUUUCUCAGGAAUCCUUUGGUUGAACUCAUUAUCUUAUAUAAAUCCCAGCAUAAACUUCUGCAUAAAUAGUAUAGGAAUCGUUUGGUUGGACUCGUUAGCAAAUAUAAACCUCAACAUAAACUUCCGCAUAAAUAGUAUACCAUUUGUUGGCUGCAUAAGAAAAAGUAGUAUCCGCAUGACUAUGUAGCUCUCAGUUAUCCGCAUAAGAAAAAAUAAGCUCGACAUAACUAAUGCAACAUUUGGUUGACUGUACUUAACUGUUCAUUAUUAAUAUCCUCAUGACUUAUGAUUUUAUUAUUUUACUAGGUAUUUAAUGGAAAGUUGUGGAGUUGUUCUUGAAGGCCCCACUCGAACAACUUAAAUUUUUUUAGUAGUUUAAUUAUAAGAAGUUGUUAUUUGUAGUAUUUUGAAUGAAGACAUUCGAUUGGACAGGCUUCUGUAAACACCCUCAGUAGCCAUUUUCUUUACAUGGUCUAAACCUUUUCUUUUCUUUGAAAUGAACAUGGUCUAGAUUUUUUGAUUUUGAUUGUUUCUUAAAAGUUGAAAAUUGUGCCAUGUAAGAGACUGGGGAAUUAUAUGUUGUCUGAUUUUGUUAAUGUUUUGAGGAUCAAUAGACGUGGGCUGCUGAGAAUAUGGCAACUGGUAAGUAUUAGUUUCUUUGACAUUGAUCUAAUGCAUUAAUGUGCAGAAAGUUCUGCUCAGUUAUUACCUUACUUCAUCAUCUGAAGUUGUACUUCCUAUUGAAGAAUCUUGUGUUUCACGAGAUGGACUGGUGCUGAUGGGAGAAAGUUAUGGAUCUGGUGCCUCACGAGAUGGACUGGUGCUGAUAGGAGAAAGACAUGCCAUUCAGAUGAUAUGCAUGCUUCCCCAGCAAGCUUUGACUGAAAAGGAGAGGCUCUAAGCUCUUAGAUUUCUGACAUGUCUUUGUUGGAUAUUGGUACUAAAACUCACGGGAGGCCAAAUGGAUAUUGUAAGGUUUUAAAGGACGGCAAGUGUUUGUACCUUGGAAAUGAUGAUUGUUGAAGAAUAAUUGUACAACAGUGAGGAUGACCUGCUUUGCAUACAUGCUUCUCCUACUCUGUUGCCUCUAUUGUCCGGUGGGUAGGGAUUCAUCUGAGUUCCCUUAACAAAUUGAAUGCAAGGGAUGGUUUAUUCAAGCUCUCCAGAUACAUCUCAGGUCCUGAUAUUUACACAGUGAAGGUAUACAGGCCCAAAUUGAUGGAUAAGAGGUGUGAAGAGAAUGUUAAGAAUUAUUUGAUACCAUGAGCUAUGCUCUCCUCUAGGGUGGAUGGAGACUUGCAUAAAUAGAUUGAUGCUAGAAAUCGAGGUAAAAUGGAUGAGCUUAUAAGGAAGACACAGAGUAGAAGAAAUCAUUCAGCUCUCCAUUUUACCAAGGCAAGAAUAAGUUCUUUGCCAUGAGUGAGUCUUCUAGAAAUAACAGUAUUAAGACUGUUCAUGAUGUGCCACUCGUGCCAGAGUAUUAAGGAGACUGCAUCAUUCUGCAGAAGCUAUCUGCUGGGAGCUUCCACAGCAGUCAUCCCAUCAGUGUGAUCAAUCUUCCACCCCAAGUUGUGGUGAUGGUGUAUUCUCUGAUAAAAGAUAAAUGUUAUCAAAUUUCUUGGGAGGGUUAGGUCCCUUUUUGAUAUUAUUUUAAUCAAAUAUGUCAGUAACUCACACGACUUGAUGUUUCUCUCUUCAGGCCAAGUGUGAAAAGGAAACUUGUUUACAUCUGAAUAGCAAAUUACAAGCUCAAGGGGAGUGCACACGUACACAUGACGGGGAGUCAGAAGAAGAACGGUACUGGAACAAGGAAUCUUAAGAAUCAGGCUACUAUACUCAAUGUCCUUUCUGGUGUCUUGCAUUUUGUUGGCGAUUCAUUGAUUCGUGAUACCAUUGAUGGCAAUCUGCUGGGAGCUUCCACGGCAGUCAUCCUAUCAAUGUGAUCAAUCUUCCACCCCAAGUUGUGGUGACAGUGUGUUAUCAAAUUUCUUGGGAGGGUUAGCGAAAAUUCAAAACUGGGGUUGGAUUUCCAACAUUCAUUCUCAAGCGUCAAAAUCAUUUACCAGCCUUUUGAGCUGCUGUUACUGCUAUUUCCUUGGGAUUUUAACCCAAUAACAUGUCUUCCCUUUCAAGACUCCGAUGGAGGUUUACUCAAGAAGAGGAAUAUACAAGAGAGGGGAGUUCGUAUGGACUUGAACAGGAUAGUUCAUGCCAAGUCAAAAGAAGAAGAAAGGAUUAGCAAGUGACUUUGAUAAUACACGUGAACUAUGAACCUUAACGACAUAUUUUUUUUUUU
Molecule: long non-coding RNA, 3780 nt
Organism: Solanum tuberosum (potato)
Lineage: Eukaryota; Viridiplantae; Streptophyta; Magnoliopsida; Solanales; Solanaceae
Exons: 17
Source: RefSeq, a predicted model, not a curated record